GACAGGGGAUAGGCCAAAAAGCAUUGUGAGUAUUUGAACGCUUGGCAACGUUGUCGCGGUUUGUGUAUAUUUGACACGUAAAUGUGACAACAAUGCAUCAGGUUUGUGUACGUACUUUCUGAUUGAUGUUUCGGCGACCUAUUUGGGAUAGUGCACUAUAUUGUGUUAUUCAAGUGAAUCGAAUCUUUCAAAAUGGUCAUGCAAUGCUCAUAUUGUGGGAAAAAAGCCGACAGUGGGCGAACAUUCCAUCAGUUUCCAUUAAAUAAACCAGAAUUACUCAAAUCUUGGCUGGAGAAUGUCAAUCUAGGUGACCACUUCGAACCAUCGAAAAGCAUGAGAUUGUGCUCCGAUCACUUCACAGCCCAAUGUUUUCAGAAAACAGGGGUCAACGUAAAACUGAUCCAUGAAAGUGUUUCCACCGUUUUUGACACGUAUAGGUCGGCAUGUGCAUAUUGUUCCUCGAUGUAAAUGCCUAAAGAUAAUCUGAUAUUACACAGAAACCCAGUAUUACUGAAAAAUCGGAUUCUGGCUAUCGGCAAAGAGAAUUACACACCUGAAGAGACAAGUCGCCUUUGCUCCAAUCAUUUUGAGAGAACCUGCUUUCGUUCCUCGGGUUGUAAGGGAUCACUCCUUUCGAGAAAUACGGCAGUCCCCACUAUAUUUCUACCCAUUCUAUCUGAAGGAAUACCUGUUCCUGGAAAACAGAGAAUGCAUUGCAAAAUUCACCAACGAAAUAUCCUAGACUAGCAACAUCCCAUGAAACACCAGUUAUAGAGACAGCAGAGCAUUAAAUACCUAGCUUCGAAGACAUAGUAUUGGCAAGUACUUUAAAGAAAAUGCCCGUUCCAGCAGUGACUACACCAAAUCGUAGCACCCAGCCAAUAGAACCAAUCACCGGAAAAUGGCUUCUUCUCGCCAAACAUGACCACCACUAUGAGAGCACACCUAGAACCACCAGAAGGAAGCUUAUAGUAACAAAUAAGAAAAUGAAGGUUUUGCAGGAGGAAGUACGAGUUCACAAGCAGCGAAUCAAUAGAUUGAAGAAGAGGAUUCAUUCCCUCAAAGAUAUUGUACAUUGAAAGAAAAUCGCUUCCCAAGAAAAGACAGUGGAAGGGCUCACGUACAAACCCUGGUUCAGGCAUUCCCAGAGAAAAGUACCCAACGGCUAUGACGCUCCAUUUCUACUCACCCAAGGCAUGCGGUUUUGUGCGCAGAAAGUUCUGUAACGCUUUACCUGAUCCUGUUACCUUGAGAGCGUGGUAUUCAACGAUCGACGGUGAACCAGGCUUUGCAUCGGAAGGUCUGAAUGCUUUAAAACUUAAAGUAUUCGAGGCUAAGGCUGUUGGCAAGGAAGUUUUAGUUGCAUUCAUGCUAGAUGAAAUGGGUAUUAAAAAAGGUAUGCAAUAUAGUCCAAAUGGAAUUGUGAGAGGGUAUGUUGAUUUGGGGAGUCGGAUGGAAAAAUCUGAGAUGGUGCCUUUAGCAAAAGAUGCCCUCGUAAUGACGGUUGUUGCCUGAGAUGGAAGCUGGAUGAUUCCUAUAGGAUAUUUUUCCAUUACUGGAACUGAUUCAGAAACAAAUUUGGGACUCGUGACUGAUGCUUUAAUUCGUCUGCAUGGCAUUGGCAUUACAGUAGUAUCUGUAACAUUAGAUGGCCCUUCAGAACAUUUUUCUACAAUGCGCCUACUUGGAGCUAAUUCUGUCGUGCCGAAUCCAGCACCUUAUUUUGUUCAUCCCUCGACUGUUGGAAAAGUAUUUGUAAUUAUUGACGCUUGUCAUAUGUUGAAGCUAGUAAGGAACUGCUUAGGUGAUAAAGCCUGAGCAUUUUUCAUGAUUAAAACAACAAUUUGUACUAAUAAGUUGUAAUAUAAACGUCAAAAAAUUUUGAUUUCUACUCAUGCUUUUUAGUAACGAUUCUAACGAACUACAUUUCGAAGUAUAGUUAUAGUUAGUCAGUGAUUCUCCUCACACAUAUUCCAUUCCAGUCCAUUCUUCUCACCAAAUUUGUUCAAAUUUGCCGCUGAAAGUGUCGAAUAUCCACGAACAAGAUGGCUCCUACGCCUUACAGCCAUUCCGGCGAAAUAGCCGUGCAUACCUUGUCCAGUCUGGCGAAUCAAAAUUCGAACUUAUUACAUACGCACACAUAUGGAAACGGUACUGCGCAAUGUCUGGCGUGACAUAAAAGAAAAACUCCAACAUAAAUUUUGGCGAAGACGAUGUUGAAUACGUGAAUUCUUCAUCUCAUUCUACGGAGAGAGAGAAAUUUGGUCGCGAUUCCGUAAAGUAGGAACGCGGUAAAGCUCGCGCGUGCACAGAACUGAAAUCGGCCGUGAUUGGCGCUGCAUCGUAGUACCAACUGUAUUUUCCUUUCGGUCAUUCCAGCGAAGAGGGGUGGCGUGUAAUAAUAAAUGGUGGUAGCCUAAUUGGUGGUAGCACUGCACUCGAGAGAUUUCGGAUCACGCCGCCGACGCAGUGCGACAACCAACCGCUUUCAUCAGUCUUUCACGAACAAUCAUCAUGGCCGAUAACGAACGUAUACGAAGGCGUCGGCGCAGCAAGGGGGAGCGCCGUUCGUGUGCAAAGGUGGCGGUCGGGGUGGCCUACCCCCGCAUCAACCGCCCGCGGAACAUCAUCCUGGUUGACAUAACCGCCGAGUUGGAGGCGCUGAGAGCUACGUGAUAUCGCGGCAGCCACCGCAGCCCGAGGCCCAGCCUGGACCGACACGGGCGGCGGCGGAGAA
Long non-coding RNA from Athalia rosae (coleseed sawfly), 2737 nucleotides. RefSeq lists it as uncharacterized. Lineage: Eukaryota; Metazoa; Arthropoda; Insecta; Hymenoptera; Athaliidae. The record is from RefSeq and is a predicted model, not a curated record. The transcript has 6 exons.